CUUGAUGGAGCCCAGGUACAGCGGCUCGUCCCGGCCCUGGCCGUAGGUGGCCAGCAGCGCCUGCGCCUC
Nocardia sp. NRRL S-836 is the source of this 69-nucleotide non-coding RNA. It matches the Rfam family "ASpks TB sRNA". The record is from Rfam. NCBI's taxonomy places the organism in Bacteria, Bacillati, Actinomycetota, Actinomycetes, Mycobacteriales, Nocardiaceae.